RNAcentral lists this ribosomal RNA (253 nucleotides) under uncultured bacterium. RNAcentral describes it as "partial 16S ribosomal RNA". It matches the Rfam family "Bacterial small subunit ribosomal RNA", at positions 524 to 776 of the family's 1533-position model. The record is from RNAcentral.
GACGAAGGAUGCAAGCGUUAUCCGGAUUCAUUGGGUUUAAAGGGAAGCGUAGGCGGCCCUAUAAGUCAGUGGUGAAAUCUCUCGGCUUAACCGAGAAAUUGCCAUUGAUACUGUAGGGCUUGAGUACAGUUGCCGUUGGCGGAAUAUGACAUGUAGUGGUGAAAUACAUAGAGAUGUCAUAGAACACCGAUGCGAAGGCAGCUAACGAAACUGUAACUGACGCUGAGGCUCGAAAGUGCGGGGAUCAAACAGG